AGGCCGUGCCGAUAAUAUAUAUAUAUAUAUGUACGAAACGCCGCCGCUCCGCUUAACCAGCGACGAACAAGACGUAAACGAACAGAAACUGAUCAACGACCAUUUAGAGUCUCUGACUCACAAGCGCCAUGACGCACACGACGGUGGUCACGAGCCCCAAGUUGGAUCCAGCCCUCUACGAGAAGAUGCAGCACACAGACCCGCUGCCGCAGUCGGAAAGUGUGCUUCUGCCCUCCAAGACGGUCCUAACUCCAGUGCGCAAGUCAGACAAAAGCCGGCUGCCCCUUUGCGUCGACAAGGGCGCCUCAAAGGAGAACGAGGAGGAGGAACAGAAGAUGGGGCCGCUUCUGCGAAUUGCGACGACAGAGGUGCCGUCGCGCACUGGCGUCAUGACGCCACUGUCAUCGCGGCAUCUCUCGGUUUCCUGCGUCCCUGUGGAGGCGACGACCUGUGCAAAUCGACCUCUGGCCAGAGCUCCCCAGAGACUCUGCAUAGGUCGAGUAGCGGCGCUGCGUCCACCAAACGACACGUCGGUUCCCGGCGCCGCCGUGCGCGAUGGCCAGAGCUUCUUGCUUGACAGAUGCAAGCCUACCGCCAGAGACAUGGUGGUGGAGCUGCACGUCUACGACCUCUCACAUGGACAUCUGAAGCGGUAUGGGCAGGAGUUGGUUGGCCUAGAAAUGCCCGGCGUCUAUCACUCCGGCAUUGUAUGCUACGGGGUCGAGGUGUACUUUGAGGGCGGCAUCGGCAUCGCCGCGGCGGGCCGCACGCGUUUCGGUAGCAAGUACCGCACGCACAACCUCGGCGUGACAAAGAAGCCUGUCUCAGAGUUCUUCCGGUGGAUCGGUGUGCGGGCCAUUCACGUUAAUCAGAUCCACGACUACCACCCGGUGCGGCACAACUGCCAUCACUUCUCCCACGAGGCAGCGCGGUUUUUGCUUGGCGAGAGCGUGUCCAUUCCAAAGUAUCUCUUCAGCACCGUGGACAAUCUUGUGAAGACGGAGGUUGGGGCUUCCGUUGCGGAGGUCAUGACUCUUACCACCCACGGCAUGCAGAGUAGCAUCGCGCGGCAGAUGCGCUCCCGCACCUUGGAGCGGCAGUGCAGCAUCGAUAUGCAACUCAGCGCCUCGACAGCCUGCGGUGUCAUGACACUGCCGCCGACGGCAGCAGUGCUCUUUCGUCCCAGCGACCUCCACCUUGCAAAACGGCUUGUCCUUGACCUCAGCCCGUACGUGAAGGGGCUAAUCAAGAGAAAGCACAUGAAGCCCGCUGCAUUGGCGGUGCUGGAAGGGAUGGCAUGCGCGCUGAUGGAGGGCACUGAUUCCCUUGCGCCGAAGCUGCUGUUGAACUACGUGGAGAUAGUCACGGAGUCUCUCUUGCGCAGCCCGUUGGUGACCUGGGGGCCUAUCUUCAACGGUCUCCGAGUGGCAGUGCUGCAUAAGUUGUGCCUCAUCAACUGUGUAUUUCACACGAACCUGAUGUCGAUGCUGAUGCUCGCGGCGCGCGACUUUCUCCGCUUAUUGCCCGACGGGCGCGUGGCGUUCCUUCGGCUGGCGUGCAACUUUGCCUGCGGCGCCUACGGCGCUAUCGUCUACAGCGAAACUCGAUACCGCGAUGCCUGGGUGUCGAUCGUUGGCCUAGGCCUCAUGGAUAGCAGCAGUAUUGUCGUGUACACAGCUGCGUGCCUGGCCUUGAACCUAGCGCUCGGCAUUGUCACCACUUCAAAUCUGCCCCUGAAGCGUGACAUGACGCAGCAGGCCGACGAACACUACGCGCUGCGGCUCGUGACGCUUCUGCUGUACAACCUACGCCACCGCAGCGCAGAUCAGCUGCCGGAGCCGUCCUUCAACAUGAUCUUGAUGGCACUCUACCGGCUUGCCUCCAGCAACACAGCGGCGCUGGAGUACGUCGUGUCACACCCCUUCAAGCCACGGUACAGCGAGCUCCUCGACCGGUGUGGUUCGAACGAAAGCCGGGCCCUCGUGUGCCUCCUCCAAACCCUAGAAGAUCUUUACGCAUAAAUCUCUACUGCUACGACCGACUGGUUCCUGAAUCACCGCGGAAGGUUUUUUUUGUUGCUUGCUGACUCAGUGAAAACUCUCUGCGGUCGCGCCACUUCCCCACCCUCUCCCUCUGCUUUAUUCUGUGGCAGCGGGUAUUCUACUCCCCCGAUGACCGGGCACCCACGGCAUUGCACGCUGUCUCAGAGCCCAGCGGCCUCCCCCCUCUCUUCCCACUCCUUUUGGGGAAGCCAAGCAGCCCACCCGACUCUCCCCCUGCUAUCAUCCGCCAAAUGCCGAGCCACCUCUGGCUGUGGCACGAUCAGGCACCUACGACGUAAGGCAGCGAGGGUGGAGGAGGAGGAGGAGGAGGGGGUCUGAGCGGUGCAUCGCUGCUGACGUCGGCGGUCCGGUGCUGGACGGCGUGGCGUCGCAGCGGCCCGCGAUCGUGUCAGCAGGGCGGCGCCAUCCAUAGGAGUUUAGGCGGCGUGCCAGCGUGGCUCGGACGUAUCCCCUCCCCCCGCCACCCCUCCCCUCGGCCCUCACACGGCCUACUAGUGUGGGUGGGUGGGUGGGGGGCUGAGUGCCACCGCCGAUGAGGGGGCAGGGAUGCGCCAGGGGUAGCGACGGGGCAUGAUGGACGCGGCUGUGAGGGACCCUGCGCUGCGGGCCUCUGGGUAUGGUUUGAGGCGGAGGCGGUGUUCCGAUGACAGAGUCGGCGCGUUGCUGUAAGGCUAUUGCAGCGCUGCUUCGCACGACGCGAUGGGGAGGAGGGGGCCUGCGGCAGGCCGGGUGCCGAGUGAAGUGUAACGCAUGCUCUGCAGCAGAGAACGGGCACGCUGAACGGAAAAACGAAAGGGGUGCAAUCAUCAUGCCGUUUGUUAACCACUGCUCGCUCUCGUCGUAUGGUACCGCAUCGGGUGCGUGCUUGCGGGAGCGGGGAAGGCGGCAAAACAAGUGGAGCUGUGAGAGACUUGCUGGUGCGCACGCUGUUAGAGCUCGAG
This 3004-nucleotide unclassified non-coding RNA is filed under the name Leishmania donovani. RNAcentral describes it as "gene:LdHU3.32.1760(CDS-product:PPPDE_putative_pep tidase_domain_containing_protein_putative)". The record is from RNAcentral. Lineage: Eukaryota; Euglenozoa; Kinetoplastea; Trypanosomatida; Trypanosomatidae.